GGAUGUGAAGGCGAUCUGGCUGCGACAUUGAUCACCAGGGUUGAUUUGGCUUAUCUGGAUGGCUAGGUGGAUGUUCCAUUCCACCCUCACAGCUCCAUGUGUGCUGGGUGAAGGACGACUUUCCCUGAUAGAGAAGGAUGGUUUUUAGGUCAAGGGUAGCUGUGCUUCCCUGCUAGAACCUCCAGACAAGAUCUCAAGGUCCAAAUAGUCUUUUGGAGGGAGUUUAACCUCAAACAUGCAGUGGCAAUUCGAGGUCUCUCU
This 261-nucleotide small nuclear RNA is filed under the name Marmota monax (woodchuck). RNAcentral's name for it is "7SK RNA". It matches the Rfam family "7SK RNA". Rfam says of the family: 7SK was discovered as an abundant small nuclear RNA in the mid-70s but a possible function has only recently been suggested. Two independent studies have found that 7SK RNA binds the CDK9/cyclin T complex (known as elongation factor P-TEFb). Lineage: Eukaryota; Metazoa; Chordata; Mammalia; Rodentia; Sciuridae. The record is from Rfam by way of RNAcentral.